GAUGAACGCUGGCGGCGUGCUUAACACAUGCAAGUCGAACGAAGAAGAGUUGAAUGAGAGCUUCGGCAGGAUUUCUUCUCAUCUUAGUGGCGGACGGGUGAGUAACGUGUGGGCAACCUGCCCUAUACUGGGGAAUAAUCACUGGAAACGGUGACUAAUACCGCAUGUCAUCACCGAGGGGCAUCCCUUGGUGAAAAAAGGAUUUAUUCGGUAUAGGAUGGGCCCGCAUCUGAUUAGCUAGUUGGUGAGAUAACAGCCCACCAAGGCGACGAUCAGUAGCCGACCUGAGAGGGUGAUCGGCCACAUUGGGACUGAGACACGGCCCAA
RNAcentral lists this ribosomal RNA (327 nucleotides) under uncultured bacterium. Its description in RNAcentral is "bacterial SSU rRNA". It matches the Rfam family "Bacterial small subunit ribosomal RNA", at positions 28 to 334 of the family's 1533-position model. The record is from RNAcentral.